RNAcentral lists this ribosomal RNA (253 nucleotides) under uncultured bacterium. RNAcentral describes it as "partial 16S ribosomal RNA". It matches the Rfam family "Bacterial small subunit ribosomal RNA", at positions 524 to 776 of the family's 1533-position model. The record is from RNAcentral.
UACGAAGGGUGCAAGCGUUACUCGGAAUUACUGGGCGUAAAGCGUGCGUAGGUGGUUCGUUAAGUCUGUCAUGAAAGCCCCGGGCUCAACCUGGGAAUGGCGAUGGAUACUGGCGGGCUAGAGUGCGGUAGAGGGUGGUGGAAUUCCCGGUGUAGCAGUGAAAUGCGUAGAGAUCGGGAGGAACAUCAGUUGCGAAGGCGGCCACCUGGACCAGCACUGACACUGAGGCACGAAAGCGUGGGGAGCAAACAGG